GACGAACGCUGGCGGCGCGCCUAACACAUGCAAGUCGAACGGUGAAGAGGGGCUUGCUCCUCGGUACAGUUGCGGACGGGUGAGUAACACGUGAGCAACCUGGCUCUAAGAGGGAGACAACAGUUGUAAACGACUGCUAAUACCGCAUAACGUAUCUGUAUGGCAUCUUCCUGAUACCAAAGAUCUUAUCGCUUAGAGCUGGUCUCGCUUCUGAUUAGAUGGUUUGCGGGGUAACUGCACACCAAGUCUACGAUCAGUAGCCGGCAUGAGAGGUUGAACCGACACACUUGGACUGAGCCACGGCACAGAAUCUUACGGGAUGGAGGAGUGGGGGAUAUUGGAAAACGGGGGGAACCCUGAUGCAGCGACGCCGGGUGAAGGAAGAAGGUUUUCGGAUUGUAAACCUCUGUUGACGGAGAAAAAAAUGACGGUACCCGUUCAGAAAGCCACGGCUAACUACGUG
This 463-nucleotide ribosomal RNA is filed under the name uncultured bacterium. RNAcentral describes it as "partial 16S ribosomal RNA". It matches the Rfam family "Bacterial small subunit ribosomal RNA", at positions 28 to 507 of the family's 1533-position model. The record is from RNAcentral.